RNAcentral lists this unclassified non-coding RNA (23 nucleotides) under Mus musculus (house mouse). Its description in RNAcentral is "oocyte_clustered_small_RNA2597". The record is from RNAcentral. Lineage: Eukaryota; Metazoa; Chordata; Mammalia; Rodentia; Muridae.
UGGCCCAAUGGAACCCAUUCUUG